UGAGUGUUUUGAGUUUGAGUGUAUUGAGUUUGUGUGUUUGUUGUUUAAGGAUUACAAUGCCAGUUAUCUGUGCGACAUAAAAAAAAAGCUUCCUAAUUUGUUCUGUCGGAUGAGCUGCAAGUUUAUGAUCAUGUGUGUGUGUGUUGUUUGGAUUGAAUUGAUAGAUGAUGUUCAUUGAUUAGCAUGUGAGCUUAUGUUUACCUCUGUUCUUACUUUAUUAUUUCUUGCAGGUUAACGAAUAUGGGACAAGAUUAUUCAUACAUCCAGCCUUCCUCAUCAUCAGACUCGAUUGACAUUACCUCCCUUCUUCAAGCAGAAGCUGAGUUGUAUGCGGAUG
RNAcentral lists this long non-coding RNA (337 nucleotides) under Brassica napus (rape). Its description in RNAcentral is "long non-coding RNA (BNAP_LNC018734)". The record is from RNAcentral. Lineage: Eukaryota; Viridiplantae; Streptophyta; Magnoliopsida; Brassicales; Brassicaceae.